RNAcentral lists this long non-coding RNA (2405 nucleotides) under Homo sapiens (human). RNAcentral describes it as "PREDICTED lncRNA (TCONS_00234554)". Lineage: Eukaryota; Metazoa; Chordata; Mammalia; Primates; Hominidae. The record is from RNAcentral.
CUCUCACUGCAGCCGUUUCUUCACAGGGUGAUCCUCACAGAAACACUCAAAGCCUUCUGUUACGUACAAAGGACCGCGUGUCAGUAAUCUACAGCCAUUUACCAGUUACCAAGAAAACACGGACGUUUCCACUAAAAAUCGCAAACGUUUCUUUCAAGCAAGGAGCGCCCUGCGCCAGAGGCUGUGGGAGGAGUGAGGAGUCUGGGUUCGUUCCAGCCGCAGGACAUGGAUGAAGCUGGAAACCAUCAUUCUCAGCAAACUAACACAGGAACAGAAAACCAAACACCGCAUGUUCUCACUUAUGAGGACAGCUCUGUGCCAGAGAAUGAGCUGGGAUCUGCCCUGACAAGUGGAGCCUCGUUUGAAAGUGUCGGUAACAGGCUCUGUGUCUGAACCAAAGUUUCCCUUGCAACCUGGUGUGGCUGCAUGAUGGAGUUUGGGCCGUGACAUAUGGUGGGUUUGACGUGUGCCACUCUUAGGGCCAACUUCUAAAGCCUCCAAGACACAGCCCCAUGCCCUGUGCCCUUCUGCAGCUCAGAGCAGAUGAGCCCAGUGACCUUGAGGCCCUUGAAGAUGGUGGAACCAGGAGACAUGAGGGGCCUUGGCCUGGAAACACAACUCGAAGGGAAAUCACUCAUCUGGAAAACGUGUUUGGACCCAUACCACACCGUGGCAAAUACCUGGUAAAACUGUCAUCUGAAAUUGCUUGGAAAUAGGACACUACCACCUAAACCCACAGCUCGUAGGCCAGGGCACCUCAACUGUAGUCCCCAGACCAGCAGCAUCGGUGUUACCUGGAAAAUUAAAAAUGCAAAGUUUUGGGCCCACUUCAGACCCCAGGUCAGAAAUUGUGGGUUGCAGAAAUCUGUGUUUUAAUAACCCUUCAGAUGACUGUGGUGCCCGACAAAGUUGAAAUGCCUGCUCCCAUGUGUGCUGGGUUUAGUUUGUGCUUUAGCAAAGCGGGAUAAGAAAGAAAGGAGGCCAGGAUGGAAUUCGCUGGUUUCCAACUAGAAGUGACAGAAAAUAGAAAGAGUCCAGUAAUGUGAGGUCUUGAAGUGUUGGGAGAAUUCAUUCAUCACUUCUAGAUUCCAGACAAUCAGAAAUAAAAUUUUAAAAGUCUUUCAAUGACAAACUAAGACUUCUCAGUUGGGAAAAAAAAAAAAAAAGGACUCAGUCUUGUUGCAGACAUGAGAUGAAGAGUGUGGUCUUUUCACAAAUGCCUGUGCAAGGGAGUCAAGGACAGAAGCCAUCCGGUGGGCUCCUUGGCACGGGGGCGGCUGAAGCAAACCAACCAGGAGCCCACGCAGCUGUCAAGGGCUUGUGUCAGCAAGUAAAGCCUAGACUGCUUGUGACUGUGAAGUGUAAAAGUGCCCCUGGGUCCUCAGGCCUGUGGACAGGACAAAGCCAAAGCCGCCCAGCGCCGUGUGAUGCGGCCACAGAGAACACGAGCCUCGGGAGAGAGGAGCCUGGGGCUGGAAAACAAGGGUGAAGGACGCUCCCCUCUGGCUGCAGGAGAGGGGCUGCUGAGGGCAAGAUCCAUCAUUUCUUGGGACCAAUGAUGCUGCUUCCUACUCUCUGCUUUCUGCCUGGGAGUUUUGUCUGGGACGCCUGUGUCUGCCCCACUCACUGUGUGGUGCAAGCUCCAUUUCCAGUGAGGACAACCGUGGCUGCCGAGAGCACCUUACAAGCCAGGCAUCCUCCUCUGAGCUCAAGGCAGCCUUGAGAAGUGGGACGAAGACUUCCUUCACGGGAAGAGGAGCGGCUCAGAGAAAGGAAGAGGCUAGUCCAGAACCACCACGUGGACAUCUUCUGUGAAGGCAAGGGCUCACCCUCACCCUGACGCCAGCCACCUGCCCCUCUUAAUAGGAGGGCGGGCCCUCCCCGCACAGCAGGCACUUCACUGCAGGCUCUGCUGCCUUUGGGAAAUGUGCCUCCCUUGUAGAGCUCUGUGGUGCAGAUUCGGCUAUCAAAGGAGUAGAACCCCCCCCUCCCCCCCGCCACCGUCCCACCCCCACAGAGCAGCUAAGAAAGCUGUUUGAUUUAACCCGUGGUUUCCCAAAUACUUUAGACCACUAAUUAAUUUUGUUUUCUGAAACAUUCGUUAAUAUGUUCACAGAAAAUUGUGGCAUUCACUUUGGAAAAUAUAUCUGUUUAAGAACAGAUAAUGAAUACAUAACAAAUUUAGAACUGUGUUAAGAUUCCAUAACUAAAACCACUCUAAACUUUCUGAAAUGGCUGAAAACGUUUCCCUAACUUUUCUGAAAGUACUUGCUGGGCUUCUUGGAGACUGAAUCAUCCCUUUUGAGCCCACUUAGGGGAAAGUUCAAAAGACCUCAGAGAAGACAAAAAGCAGGGCAAGAGAGACGGCCCAGUCUUCUAGCUCUCCACUGGAGAAAAUGCAUGUG